RNAcentral lists this ribosomal RNA (1087 nucleotides) under uncultured organism. RNAcentral's name for it is "bacterial SSU rRNA". It matches the Rfam family "Bacterial small subunit ribosomal RNA", at positions 40 to 1117 of the family's 1533-position model. The record is from RNAcentral.
CGGCAGGCCUAACACAUGCAUGUCGAGGGGUAAUUUCUGAUCUUCGGAUCGGAAACGACCGGCAAAUGGGUGAGUAAUACAUAUGCAACCUGCCCGUAGCUGGAGAAUAGCUUCCGGAAACGGAAAUUAAUACUCCAUAAUAUUCUAGUAUCGCAUGUUAUUAGAAUUAAAGCUUCGGUGGCUACGGAUGGGCAUAUGUCCCAUUAGCUUGUUGGUGAGGUAACUGCUCACCAAGGCUACGAUGGGUAGGGGGUCUGAGAGGAUGAUCCCCCACACUGGUACUGAGACACGGACCAGACUCCUACGGGAGGCAGCAGUGAGGAAUAUUGGUCAAUGGGCGAAAGCCUGAACCAGCCAUGCCGCGUGCAGGAUGACAGUCCUACGGAUUGUAAACUGCUUUUCUGCAAGAAGAAAUGUUCCGACGUGUCGGGAUUUGACGGUAUUGCAGGAAUAAGCAUCGGCUAACUCCGUGCCAGCAGCCGCGGUAAUACGGAGGAUGCAAGCGUUAUCCGGAUUCAUUGGGUUUAAAGGGUGCGUAGGCGGAUUAGAUAGUCAAAGGUGAAAGCCUGCAGCUUAACUGUAGAAGUGCCUUUGAUACUGCUAAUCUUGAGUACAGUUGAGGCGAGUGGAAUGUGUAGUGUAGCGGUGAAAUGCAUAGAUACUACACAGAACACCAAUUGCGAAGGCAGCUCGCUAAGCUGUUACUGACGCUCAGGCACGAAAGCGUGGGGAGCGAACAGGAUUAGAUACCCUGGUAGUCCACGCUGUAAACUAUGAUCACUAGCUGUUGGCGAUAAAUUGUCAGUGGCUCAGCGAAAGCGUUAAGUGAUCCACCUGGGGAGUACGAUCGCAAGGUUGAAACUCAAAGGGAUAGGCGGGGGAACACACAAGCAGUGGAUUGUCUCGAUUAAUUGGAUAAUAAGCCAAGAAUCUUACCUAGACUUGACAUAUAUUGUGUCCUACGUGAAAGUGUAGUAAUCCCGAUUUUGUCGGGAUACGAUAUACAGGUGGUGCAUGGUCGUCGUCAGCUCGUGCCGCAGGAUGUCCAGUUAAGUCUGGGAACGAGCGCAACCCUCGUUGUUAGUUA